GAUGAACGCUAGCGGCAGGCCUAACACAUGCAAGUCGAGGGGUAACAUAGAAAAGCUUGCUUUUCUGAUGACGACCGGCGCACGGGUGCGUAACGCGUAUACAACCUACCUUUUAGCGGGGAAUAGCCCAGGGAAACUUGGAUUAAUGCCCCAUAGUAUAUAGACUUCUCCUGAAGUUUAUAUUAAACAUUUAUGGCUAUUAGAUGGGUAUGCGUCCUAUUAGUUAGUUGGUAAGGUAACGGCUUACCAAGGCAGCGAUAGGUAGGGGUCCUGAGAGGGAGAUCCCCACACUGGUACUGAGACACGGACCAGACUCCUACGGGAGGCAGCAGUGAGGAAUAUUGGACAAUGGGCGAGAGCCUGAUCCAGCCAUGCCGCGCGCAGGAAGACUGCCCUAUGGGUUGUAAACUGCUUUUACAGAGGAAGAACCACCCCCACGUGUGGGGGUUUGACGGUACUCUGCGAAUAAGGAUCGGCUAACUCCGUG
This 487-nucleotide ribosomal RNA is filed under the name uncultured bacterium. Its description in RNAcentral is "bacterial SSU rRNA". It matches the Rfam family "Bacterial small subunit ribosomal RNA", at positions 28 to 507 of the family's 1533-position model. The record is from RNAcentral.